Molecule: long non-coding RNA, 576 nt
Filed under: Mytilus galloprovincialis (Mediterranean mussel)
Lineage: Eukaryota; Metazoa; Mollusca; Bivalvia; Mytilida; Mytilidae
Source: RNAcentral
UAAUUUUUCCUAUGUUCCUUUGGUAUUUUAACCAAAGAUGAAGAACUGGAUAUUCCAUCGCUGUUUUGGAAGCCUUAACUAAAUAAGUGUGUACUAUAGUUUGUUCUUCGUCCGUCCGUUCGUUCGUCCGUUCACCCGUUCGUUCGUCCAUCUGUCCCGCUUCAGGUAAAAGUUUUGGUCGAUGUAAUUUUUGAUAAAGUUGAAGUCCAAUCAACUUGAAACUUAUCAAACAUGUUUCCUAUGAUAUAAUCAUUCUAAUUUUUUUGCCUAAUUAGACAUGUCUCCCCAUUUUCACGGUCCACUGAACAUAGAAAAUGAUAGUGUGCAUGGGACAUCUGCGUACUAGGGACAUAUUCUUGUUUAUCUAUAAGUUUGAAUGUCCCUCCAGUAACUUUUUCACCUCUUUUACAAAAAACUACUGAAACCGGAUUAACAACACUUUUUACAACAACAAAAAAUAGCAAGAAGACCAAAUUUGUACACCUGGAUGUAAUUCAGAAUCACAGACGAUGAUUAGAAUGAACAAAUCAAAUAUUCUGAAUCCAAAGUUUCCCCAUACAUUAUAGUGUUAAAUAU